This 670-nucleotide ribosomal RNA is filed under the name Pelagomonas calceolata. Its description in RNAcentral is "SSU rRNA". It matches the Rfam family "Eukaryotic small subunit ribosomal RNA", at positions 626 to 1295 of the family's 1831-position model. The record is from RNAcentral. Lineage: Eukaryota; Pelagophyceae; Pelagomonadales; Pelagomonadaceae.
GCUCGUAGUUGGAUUCCUGACCUGGGGUAGCCGGUCCGCCUUGCAAAAGGUGCGCACUGAGCGGCCUCGGUCAUCCUUGAGAAGAGCGGUCCUGGCAUUCAGUUGUCGGGGUCGGGAUUCUCGACGUUUACUGUGAAAAAAUCAGAGUGUUCAACGCAGGCUUACGCCUUGAAUACAUUAGCAUGGAAUAAUGAGAUAGGACCUUGGCGGUCUAUUUUGUUGGUUUGCACGCCGAGGUAAUGAUUAAAAGGGACGGUUGGGGUUCUUCGUAUUCAAUUGUCAGAGGUGAAAUUCUUGGAUUUAUGGAAGACGAACUGCUGCGAAAGCGUCGAACAAGGACGUUCUCAUUAAUCAAGAACGAAAGUUAGGGGAUCGAAGAUGAUUAGAUACCAUCGUAGUCUUAACCAUAAACUAUGCCGAUUCAGGAUUGGCGGUCGUUUGUUCUCGACUCCGUCAGCACUGUAUGAGAAAUCAAAAUCUUUGGGUUCCGGGGGGAGUAUGGUCGCAAGGCUGAAACUUAAAGAAAUUGACGGAAGGGCACCACCAGGAGUGGAGCCUGCGGCUUAAUUUGACUCAACACGGGGAAACUUACCAGGUCCAGACAUAGUAAGGAUUGACAGAUUGAGAGCUCUUUCUUGAUUCUAUGGGGUGGUGGUGCAUGGCCGUUCUU